This 253-nucleotide ribosomal RNA is filed under the name uncultured bacterium. RNAcentral describes it as "partial 16S ribosomal RNA". It matches the Rfam family "Bacterial small subunit ribosomal RNA", at positions 524 to 776 of the family's 1533-position model. The record is from RNAcentral.
UACGGGGGGGGCAAGCGUUGUUCGGAAUUACUGGGCGUAAAGGGCUCGUAGGCGGCCAACUAAGUCAGACGUGAAAUCCCUCGGCUUAACCGGGGAACUGCGUCUGAUACUGGUUGGCUUGAGUUUGGGAGAGGGAUGCGGAAUUCCAGGUGUAGCGGUGAAAUGCGUAGAUAUCAUGAGGAACACCAGAGGCGGAGGCGGCUACCUGGACAGUUACUGACGCUCAGGCACGAAAGCGUGGGGAGCAAAAGGG